Molecule: long non-coding RNA, 1115 nt
Organism: Brassica napus (rape)
Lineage: Eukaryota; Viridiplantae; Streptophyta; Magnoliopsida; Brassicales; Brassicaceae
Exons: 5
Source: RefSeq, a predicted model, not a curated record
UUUAAUUGUGUAAACCAGUUUUAAAAGGGAGGAAAAAACGUGAAGCCCAAUUGGUAUAGAAGACCUAGAAAAAAAAAUCUAAGUUUCAGCUGUUUUCAUCGGGAAAAAAUAUCUUUGUUUCUCUCUCUAUUACCAUUGAAAGGUUGUCUCUUUCUCAUCGAUCUGCGAAGAUUCAUACUCCGAUCGUUCAGUGAAGCUGUUCUGGAUGGAAUUAGUUUCUGGAUCGAUGAGUUUUUGUGUCUGAAGUAUAUUAGAAGGAAACCAUUUGAUCUUCUCUGUCUCCAUGGAUAACGGAGCUGUCUGAAAACAUAACAGCUAUUGAUGUUUCUAUCAGCAUCUUACUAUUCAACUCCAAUCUAUGAAAUCAUUUUGGUAGGGAACGAAAGUGACGAAAUUUCAGUGAAGUAUGAAGGACGUGUACUGCCUAAUAAGAUAAGUCAUGUAUUGGUUACAGUUAUAAAUCUAAAUAGUCUGUGUUGUAAUGUUGUCAUCUAAUGGAACUCUUGUAUUUGUUCUUCAGGACUUAUAAAAAAAACUGGAAGAUAGGAGAGAAAUCAACUUUACUGACCCGCCCCUAUCAGGGAUAGCUUCUCUGUUAUUUUUUUUUAUAUUUCUAUUAGAUAAACUCUAAUAUAUUUCGUAACAAAAAGCUACUACAACUUGUGUUCUAACUCUGUAUUAUUUUUCAGGAGCCGCUGGAAAAAAAGAAUAAGUUCAGAAACGACAUUGAGGAAAGGAACACGGAGUGCAUUCAGAAACAACCUUUAGCAUUGGAAUAACAUGCCUGUAGGAAACAACGGGGUUAUUGAUGGAGAAAUUUUCAAUGUUUCUCCACAUUCCAACAGCAAGCACAUUUGAAAGUUUCCUCGUCAACUUAUCAAGGUAUGGAGCACCUUCACUUGUACACGAUACUCUGUCAUGAAAGGUUUGAUGUCAGCCAAAGGAGUGAGUUCCAUGAUUAAAGGUAUUUCUGUAGCGAUAAAGUUCGUGAGUUUUGAUUUUAGGAAGUGUGAUAAGAGUAUAGGCUGUAGGAAGGAUAUAUAUAACCACCCUCUGUUGAUGGAACCGCUAUUUAGUUAAGAUCGUAUAAAAAAUCAAAUUUUUUUUCGCAACGA